CCCCUAGAUGUUCUGGGCCGCACGCGCGCUACACUGAUGCAUGCAACGAGUUCUAUCCUUGGCCGGAAGGCCUGGGUAAUCUGUGAACGUGCAUCGUGAUAGGGAUAGAUUAUUGCAAUUAUUAAUCUUGAACGAGGAAUUCCUAGUAAACGCAAGUCAUCAGCUUGCAUUGAUUACGUCCCUGCCCUUUGUACACACCGCCCGUCGCACCUACCGAUCGAAGGUAAUGAUGAGCCCUCAGGAUUGUGGCCUCGUCGCGUCAGCGUCUUGGCUGCGAGAAUCUGUGCAAAUCCCUACCUUUAGAGGAAGGUGAAGUCGUANCA
Molecule: ribosomal RNA, 323 nt
Filed under: uncultured eukaryote
Lineage: Eukaryota
Description: partial 18S ribosomal RNA
Rfam family: Eukaryotic small subunit ribosomal RNA
Source: RNAcentral